This 2053-nucleotide long non-coding RNA is filed under the name Chinchilla lanigera (long-tailed chinchilla). RNAcentral's name for it is "lncRNA (ENSCLAG00000027452.1)". Lineage: Eukaryota; Metazoa; Chordata; Mammalia; Rodentia; Chinchillidae. The record is from RNAcentral.
GGGCCAGACCCAGUGAAUAAGACAGAUGAGAACACACUGUCAGAGUUUUACAACCCUGCCUUUAAAUUAGAUGGCACUCAAAAGCAGCUUUCACCAUGUUUUUGAUCACACCUCAAAAAGACACUCACAAGAGGACUUCAAGAACAAUCGGCAAAGCAAAGGAAGUAUCUUAAUGGAUUAAUCAUAAUGCGUCUUUGACUAUGAUAAUUUUUUAAAUUUUUACUUAAAUAUUCACAGGAUUUUUUUUAAAUCCCAUCCUAUAUUCAUUCCCAUGCCCAUUUCUUGCUGAGGAAUAAGGAAGACUGAGGUGCAGGCUUCCUCCUCCUUCAGCAGCAACGGAGGGAGACAGGUGCAGAGCAAGAAGUCACACGAAGCGCAGGUCCAUCUCGCCAGGCCCCGGGGAGGGGAGCCCUCUCGUCCCUCCCCCAGCCUUGCGUUGCAGCAAAAUAUCCCAGAAGGCUUCAGGCAUCAACAGGUUUCGUGUCUCUACAAACUACAGUCGAGGUAGCCAGAAAGAUAACAUCUGCCAUAUCCCAGCUUGAACUCCGCCUCGCUCAAGAAACGCUCUCAACGGAGCCUUUCUGCCAACUCUUCCUUCAAGCCUGCAAGGUUUUGGCCCCUUCUGCUUGAUUGUUUGUGGAUACUCAGGCGAAGACCUUCUGUGUGACCUCCGCAGGCUGCCCCGAUGGCCUGGCCACACCACCUAUGAGGGCCAGGGACAGGAUCACGGCUUCACACUGCAGACACUAGUUCAAGGCAACCCCUGGGUGCUUACUGAUGUGAAGAGACCUGUGUGUGCACAGACCCGACCACGGCCCCCUAGAAUUACACAGAAGGGACCAUCAGAGAAGACUCUACCAUCUUCCUUCUCCCUGAUCCCUGCCACCUGCCACCAGGUCUCCAAAUCUCACCACCAUGAAGACAGCGACUCUGGCCCCCAACCGUACCCAGGUUACGGUUGUGACUGCAGCUCCACAUAUUUUUUUCAACAAACCUAAUAACCUUAUAAUGAAGAGAAAACCAGAGACAGAAGUUUGUACUCAGUGGCCAAGAACAGAGCUCUGUGAUCAACCAGGCAGGGGGCUCUGACUGCAAGCUCUACUACUUACGAGUAGUAGGGCACCAGGCAAUGUAGAUAACCUCCUCCAGCCUUGUUUUCUCAUUUCCCACAUGGGGAUGGGAUGGAACCGCUUCGGACUGAUGCAGUCUAUGAGAUAAUGCAAUUAUAAUGCUUUCCCUCAGCACCUGGCAGGCAGCAAGAAUUCCACUAGUUAUUUAUUAUCGUUAUCUUUAUGAUUAUCUGCAGUUCUGGAACUAACAUGUAAGAACAUGAGUUAGAAGCUCAGGACAGAAGGAGGCAGCCUGUACCUAAGCCCUGCAUCUGCCUUGGAUAAACCCAUGCGGAUCCCUCAGAGCUGCCUGUACUCUAGAUCAGAAAUACCUGGUAAUACCUGGGGGACAGGAGGUGUCCCCAGGACCAGGUGUAACCAGAGUCCAAUGAAAGUCUCCCUCUUUCCCUAAACCACUGGAAACACCUUAGAUGGGACAGAUUCUGACAACCGUCCCUAGCUGAAUGCCACACCUCCCUUUGCUACACCCCGUAAGCACCUGUUUCUUGGGCUCCCCGUGAACUUUAACAAUUGCCCCGCUGCACCUCUAGAUCAGAAACGGGUGUAGUUUUGACACCAGCCUUCACCAAGGCAGCGGGACAGGAAGAGUGUCCAUGAUUAGCUGUGCAGCCCCCUCAUGGAUGGAUAACACAUUCACUCAAUUCAGUAGAGAAGUACCUGGAGCUUUGAUUUUGCAACAUUUAAACCCACCGAUCUCCCACCUCCCUAUCUCCUUCCUAGACCUCGGUCCAACCCUCAGUCCCGCCUGGGCAUUCCUCUAGUUCCUGCCUUCCGGCUGGGGUCCGGAAGAAAUAAUUUCCCGCCUGGCACGCUAAGACCAAGAGUCAAAUGUACUGUCCUAUUUCCAAGGUAAAACCAAACUUAGAGCCGGGGCAGCAAAGAGGCAGGUAGUUUUCUUUUCAGCAGCCCGGGGCCUCCUUCCC